GAACAGGGAAGCCUCUCCCACUGACAAAUACCCCCGGCGCUCAUUCCCAAGGAAAACCCACCUGCAGUCCCCAACAACCCUGCAGCGACCCGCAGCAUCCCACGAGGCACAAAGCAGCAGCUGCAGCCACUGGCUCCAAAGCAGGACGGGAAACGUCUACGUGGGGCAAGAAAUCUGAUUUGCCAACAGCAGACAUCAGGGAGGGCGUGCGACAUGGUAAAAAAUAAAGAUGCACCAAGUGGAUUACUGCCGAACACAGUGACCGCACGACUCCAGCUGAAGAAAACCCUCCGUUUUCUCAAGGCAGCAAAAACUGCUGGAUGCUUGCGGAGGCAGGAGGCAGUUGAGCAGGACGGAGCUCGCGAUACCCACACGGCUCCGCAAAGGUCAUUCGCAACGGCAUCGCUCGCGUCUUUGUGUUGAGAUAGUUGAGCUCAGAGCAGGGACUGGUUUUGCUUGGGGAAACACACAUCUAAAGGACUCAUCUUUUUAUAUAUAUUUAUUAUAAUCGCAGCGGCAGCACAGAACAGCACGUUGGAGAUGUGGCAGAGCUACAGACCUGUGUGGAGUAACUAUACACCGAUUAUCUUGAAGUACUGGCCCACAGAAAAAGUACACUUACCAGCACGCUUUUGUAACGCUCAGGGCACAGAAGCCACUUGGCUUCUAAUACCGGUGUUAUGAGGCUCUCGUGAGAGACAAGCCGUGAUAUUUUUUUCUGCAAGCAGUCAACGGUGAUUGAUGACUCCAUCAGAAUGAUGGCUGUGACUCCAUGUUUUCUGUAUGGCCCUCUACACGGCGAAAAGCAAUGACUUAAGGAGCUUUUUUAGAUCUCAAUUCCUCUGAUCAAGAGUCGGUACACCCUCUCUGUUCAGCUGCUUGUCGCACAGCUCACAAAAGAUUUGUGCCAGGAUUUUUCUGCCUUAUGAACCUUUGCCUUGACCCGUGUUUCUAGAAGACAGCUUAAAAAAAGGAAGAUUAAUCUCACCAAAAAAAAACCUGUCUUCUAACAGCACAUAUACCUAGUUGGGCCAGGGACAACUGUAUCCCUCACCAACUCCUGUUUCUCUCCUUCUCAUAUGCCAGGUUGCCUCACUGCUAUCUACAGGCUCUAACUACAUAAAACACCAACACACCACAAUGAAUUCUCCUACCAUUUUUAAGCCAAAAUAUAGUUAAAUCCAAUCUCUCUCCUCCUACAUACUUAAGACUACCUUUGUCCACGGCAGAAGCGUGCAGAUCUUAGUGUGUCAUUAACAAAAGGGAUUUUUGUUUGUUUUUCCCUGAUACUUACCAAUGAAAAAUUGCACAGGUGGUAUCAUUUCCUCAUGUUAUGUUACAGGUGUACUGUAUUAGCCAAAUCAUUUGGACUUCCCCCCAUUCUUCUGUUUUCCCCUACUUUCUUUAGCUGUUACUUCACUUG
Molecule: long non-coding RNA, 1423 nt
Organism: Anser brachyrhynchus (Pink-footed goose)
Lineage: Eukaryota; Metazoa; Chordata; Aves; Anseriformes; Anatidae
Source: Ensembl